GAGUUAUCUGAACCUUCGGGGGACGAUAACGGCGUCGAGCGGCGGACGGGUGAGUAAUGCCUAGGAAAUUGCCCUGAUGUGGGGGAUAACCAUUGGAAACGAUGGCUAAUACCGCAUAAUACCUACGGGUCAAAGAGGGGGACCUUCGGGCCUCUCGCGUCAGGAUAUGCCUAGGUGGGAUUAGCUAGUUGGUGAGGUAAUGGCUCACCAAGGCGACGAUCCCUAGCUGGUCUGAGAGGAUGAUCAGCCACACUGGAACUGAGACACGGUCCAGACUCCUACGGGAGGCAGCAGUGGGGAAUAUUGCACAAUGGGCGCAAGCCUGAUGCAGCCAUGCCGCGUGUGUGAAGAAGCUUCGGUUGUAAAGCACUUUCAGUCGUGAGGAAGAGUGUAGUUAAUAGCUGCAUUAUUUGACGUUAGCGACAGAAGAAGCACCGGCUAACUCCGUGCCAGCAGCCGCGGUAAUACGG
This 470-nucleotide ribosomal RNA is filed under the name uncultured Vibrio sp. RNAcentral describes it as "bacterial SSU rRNA". It matches the Rfam family "Bacterial small subunit ribosomal RNA", at positions 64 to 528 of the family's 1533-position model. Lineage: Bacteria; Pseudomonadati; Pseudomonadota; Gammaproteobacteria; Vibrionales; Vibrionaceae. The record is from RNAcentral.